RNAcentral lists this ribosomal RNA (404 nucleotides) under uncultured bacterium. RNAcentral's name for it is "bacterial SSU rRNA". It matches the Rfam family "Bacterial small subunit ribosomal RNA", at positions 29 to 419 of the family's 1533-position model. The record is from RNAcentral.
AGCGAACGUUAGCGGCGCGCCUAACACAUGCAAGUCGCACGAGAAAGGGAGCAAUCCCCGGUACAGUGGCGCACGGGUGAGUAACACGUAGAUGACCUUCCCUGGAGUGGUGGAUAACCUGCCGAAAGGCGGGCUAAUACAGCAUGGGACCACAUGGUUUUUGACCGAGUGGUGAAAGCGGGCCUCUGUUCACAAGCUCGCGCUCUGGGAUGGGUCUGCGUCCCAUCAGCUAGUUGGUGAGGUAAUGGCUCACCAAGGCAUCGACGGGUAGCUGGUCUGAGAGGAUGACCAGCCACACUGGAACUGAGACACGGUCCAGACUCCUACGGGAGGCAGCAGUGGGGAAUCUUGCGCAAUGGGCGAAAGCCUGACGCAGCGACGCCGCGUGGGUGAUGAAGGCCUUC